GGGAGGAUGGCCGAGUGGUUUAAGGCGGCAGAUUUAAGCUCUGCUUUCCGUUGGAAGCGUGGGUUCGAACCCCACUCCUCUCA
This 83-nucleotide transfer RNA is filed under the name Cladophialophora carrionii CBS 160.54. RNAcentral describes it as "tRNA-Leu (TAA) (tRNA-Leu-TAA-1-1)". It matches the Rfam family "tRNA". Rfam says of the family: Transfer RNA (tRNA) molecules are approximately 80 nucleotides in length. Their secondary structure includes four short double-helical elements and three loops (D, anti-codon, and T loops). Further hydrogen bonds mediate the characteristic L-shaped molecular structure. tRNAs have two regions of fundamental functional importance: the anti-codon, which is responsible for specific mRNA codon recognition, and the 3' end, to which the tRNAs corresponding amino acid is attached (by aminoacyl-tRNA synthetases). tRNAs cope with the degeneracy of the genetic code in two manners: having more than one tRNA (with a specific anti-codon) for a particular amino acid; and 'wobble' base-pairing, i.e. permitting non-standard base-pairing at the 3rd anti-codon position. The record is from RNAcentral. Lineage: Eukaryota; Fungi; Ascomycota; Eurotiomycetes; Chaetothyriales; Herpotrichiellaceae.